This 497-nucleotide ribosomal RNA is filed under the name uncultured bacterium. RNAcentral's name for it is "partial 16S ribosomal RNA". It matches the Rfam family "Bacterial small subunit ribosomal RNA", at positions 28 to 507 of the family's 1533-position model. The record is from RNAcentral.
GAUGAACGCUGGCGGCGUGCCUAAUACAUGCAAGUCGAGCGAACAGACGAGGAGCUUGCUCCUCUGACGUUAGCGGCGGACGGGUGAGUAACACGUGGAUAACCUACCUAUAAGACUGGGAUAACUUCGGGAAACCGGAGCUAAUACCGGAUAAUAUAUUGAACCGCAUGGUUCAAUAGUGAAAGACGGUUUUGCUGUCACUUAUAGAUGGAUCCGCGCCGCAUUAGCUAGUUGGUAAGGUAACGGCUUACCAAGGCGACGAUGCGUAGCCGACCGGAGAGGGUGAUCGGCCACACUGGAACUGAGACACGGUCCAGACGCCUACGGGAGGCAGCAGUAGGGAAUCUUCCGCAAUGGGCGAAAGCCUGACGGAGCAACGCCGCGUGAGUGAUGAAGGUCUUCGGAUCGUAAAACUCUGUUAUUAGGGAAGAACAAAUGUGUAAGUAACUAUGCACGUCUUGACGGUACCUAAUCAGAAAGCCACGGCUAACUACGUG